CCUACGGGUGGCAGCAGUGAGGAAUAUUGGUCAAUGGGCGUAAGCCUGAACCAGCCAAGUCGCGUGAGGGAUGAAGGUUUUAUGGAUCGUAAACCUCUUUUAUAAGGGAAUAAAGUGCGGGACGUGGCCCGUGUUGUAUGUACCUUAUGAAUAAGGAUCGGCUAACUCCGCGCCAGCAGCCGCGGUAAUACGGAGGAUCCGAGCGUUAUCCGGAGUUAUUGGGUUUAAAGGGUGCGUAGGCGGACUUUUAAGUCAGCGGUGAAAGUCUGUGGCUCAACCAUUGAAGUGCCGUUGAAACUGGGAGGCUUGAGUAUGUUUGAGGCAGGAGGAAUGCGUGGUGUAGCGGUGAAAUGCGUAGAUAUCACGAAGAACACCAGUUGCGAAGGCAGCCUGCCAGGCCAUGACUGACGCUGAUGCGCGAAAGCGUGGGGAUCAAACAGGAUUAGAUACCCUUGUAGUA
This 460-nucleotide ribosomal RNA is filed under the name uncultured bacterium. RNAcentral's name for it is "partial 16S ribosomal RNA". It matches the Rfam family "Bacterial small subunit ribosomal RNA", at positions 338 to 795 of the family's 1533-position model. The record is from RNAcentral.